RNAcentral lists this ribosomal RNA (515 nucleotides) under uncultured bacterium. RNAcentral's name for it is "bacterial SSU rRNA". It matches the Rfam family "Bacterial small subunit ribosomal RNA", at positions 29 to 520 of the family's 1533-position model. The record is from RNAcentral.
AGCGAACGUUAGCGGCGGGCCUAACACAUGCAAGUCGAACGCGAAAGGUCUUCGGACUGAGUAGAGUGGCGCACGGGUGAGUAACACGUAGGUAAUCUACCCUUUGGCGGGGGAUAACGUUCCGAAAGGAGCGCUAAUACCGCAUAAGACCACGGAGUCUCCGGACGCUGUGGGAAAAGGUGGCCUCUUCUUGAAAGCUACCACCGAAGGAUGAGCCUGCGUCCCAUCAGCUAGUUGGUAAGGUAAUGGCUUACCAAGGCGAAGACGGGUAGCUGGUUUGAGAGAAUGAUCAGCCACACUGGCACUGGAACACGGGCCAGACUCCUACGGGAGGCAGCAGUGAGGAAUAUUGGGCAAUGGGCGAAAGCCUGACCCAGCCACGCCGCGUGAGUGAUGAAGGCCCUCGGGUCGUAAAGCUCUGUGGAGAGGGACGAAAACCCUGGUUUCAAAUAGGCUCCAGGCUUGACGGUACCUCUUUAGCAAGCACCGGCCAACUCUGUGCCAGCAGCCGACGG